CCAGACUCCUACGGGAGGCAGCAGUGGGGAAUAUUGCACAAUGGGGGAAACCCUGAUGCAGCGACGCCGCGCGAGCGAUGAAGUAUUUCGGUAUGUAAAGCUCUAUCAGCAGGGAAGAAAAUGACGGUACCUGACUAAGAAGCCCCGGCUAACUACGUGCCAGCAGCCGCGGUAAUACGUAGGGGGCAAGCGUUAUCCGGAUUUACUGGGUGUAAAGGGAGCGUAGACGGCGGCGCAAGCCAGAUGUGAAAGCCCGGGGCUCAACCCCGGGACUGCAUUGGAAACUGUAUUGCUUGAGUACCGGAGAGGCAGGCGGAAUUCCCAGUGUGGCGGUGAAAUGCGUAGAUAUUGGGAGGAACACCAGUGGCGAAGGCGGCCUGCUGGACAUUAACUGACGCUGAGGCGCGAAAGCGUGGGGAGCAAACAGGAUUAGAUACCCUUGUA
RNAcentral lists this ribosomal RNA (444 nucleotides) under uncultured bacterium. RNAcentral describes it as "partial 16S ribosomal RNA". It matches the Rfam family "Bacterial small subunit ribosomal RNA", at positions 331 to 792 of the family's 1533-position model. The record is from RNAcentral.